This 273-nucleotide ribosomal RNA is filed under the name uncultured Ascomycota. RNAcentral's name for it is "partial 18S ribosomal RNA". It matches the Rfam family "Eukaryotic small subunit ribosomal RNA", at positions 548 to 827 of the family's 1831-position model. Lineage: Eukaryota; Fungi; Ascomycota. The record is from RNAcentral.
UUGGAGGGCAAGUCUGGUGCCAGCAGCCGCGGUAAUUCCAGCUCCAAUAGCGUAUAUUAAAGUUGUUGUGGUUAAAAAGCUCGUAGUUGAACCUUGGGCCUGGCUGGCCGGUCCGCCUCACCGCGUGCACUGGUCCGGCCGGGCCUUUCCCUCUGCGGAACCCCAUGCCCUUCACUGGGUGUGGCGGGGAAACAGGACUUUUACUUUGAAAAAAUUAGAGUGCUCAAGGCAGGCCUAUGCUCGAAUACAUUAGCAUGGAAUAACAGAAUAGGA